RNAcentral lists this long non-coding RNA (331 nucleotides) under Lathyrus oleraceus (garden pea). Its description in RNAcentral is "Pisum sativum (pea) long non-coding RNA (PSAT_LNC028947)". The record is from RNAcentral. Lineage: Eukaryota; Viridiplantae; Streptophyta; Magnoliopsida; Fabales; Fabaceae.
GAGCCUUCACCUCUUGAAAGGCAUGAAUCAUAUGAUGAAGGUAUUUUUAUAAGCUUUAAGAAAAGUGGAAAGUAACAAGAAUCUCUAUAGGUAAUCGGUAAAAUGAAUUAAAUUCUCUUCGGAAGCUUCUUAGAAAUAAGGUGAAAAAAUUAAAACAAAAGUUGAAAAGAAAAAGAAAUCAAUCCCAACCAAUGUAGUGAAAGAGGAAUGAAAUGGAUAAAUAGCUUUCAUACAUGCUUUCUUAUUUGUCCAUUGUUUUUGCAACAGCAUCUUUCUAAGUUAAAGACAAACUUCUCUUUAAGCUUCUUUCGUUUUGCAAUCUUUAUAUCCU